This 505-nucleotide ribosomal RNA is filed under the name uncultured bacterium. Its description in RNAcentral is "partial 16S ribosomal RNA". It matches the Rfam family "Bacterial small subunit ribosomal RNA", at positions 28 to 507 of the family's 1533-position model. The record is from RNAcentral.
GACGAACGCUGGCGGCGUGCCUAAUACAUGCAAGUAGAACGCACAGUUUAUACCGUAGCUUGCUACACCAUAGACUGUGAGUUGCGAACGGGUGAGUAACGCGUAGGUAACCUGCCUGGUAGCGGGGGAUAACUAUUGGAAACGAUAGCUAAUACCGCAUAAUAUUGAUUAUUGCAUGAUAAUUGAUUGAAAGAUGCUAUUGCAUCACUACCAGAUGAACCUGCGUUGUAUUAGCUAGUAGGUGAGGUAACGGCUCACCUAGGCGACGAUACAUAGCCGACCUGAGAGGGUGAUCGGCCACACUGGGACUGAGACACGGCCCAGACUCCUACGGGAGGCAGCAGUAGGGAAUCUUCGGCAAUGGACGAAAGUCUGACCGAGCAACGCCGCGUGAGUGAAGAAGGUUUUCGGAUCGUAAAGCUCUGUUGUAAGAGAAGAACGGGUGUGAGAGUGGAAAGUUCACACUGUGACGGUAUCUUACCAGAAAGGGACGGCUAACUACGUG